AGUAGAGAGGAGACAUUGCUGGAAUUGGCAGGAGAGGAGGGUAACCUGCAUAGAUCACAUGACCCCACCAAUGAAGAUGGAGGCGGACCGGAGUCGCAUAACUGAGAAGAUACUAAACCUCACCCUGGAGAUCAUCUACCUGGUGACAGGAGAGAGAUUUCCUCUUGUGAAGUC
Molecule: long non-coding RNA, 174 nt
Organism: Rana temporaria (common frog)
Lineage: Eukaryota; Metazoa; Chordata; Amphibia; Anura; Ranidae
Exons: 3
Source: RefSeq, a predicted model, not a curated record